This 8028-nucleotide long non-coding RNA is filed under the name Zea mays. RNAcentral's name for it is "long non-coding RNA (ZMAY_LNC001943)". Lineage: Eukaryota; Viridiplantae; Streptophyta; Magnoliopsida; Poales; Poaceae. The record is from RNAcentral.
AAAAAAAUCUCCAGCCGCCCUUAGCCUGUCUUCCUCGCCGGCUGAUUUUUGCCCUCGCGCGAUCCAAUCCUCUCAGCCGCCGCUCAACUUCGAGAAUAAAAAUCCUCGCGCGCGCCCAGGAUCUUCUUCCUCCCUGCUUCCAGCGCCGAGGCUCCCUCCCCCAGCUCUCUCACGGUCGCCCCUGCUCCUCCGGUCCUCCCCUAUGGCGCCCUGCUUGCUCCCUGUGCCGCAGUCCCUCCUCUCUCCUCCCUCCAUUUCUCCUUCACGCGCCCAGGCUCGCCGUGGAGUUUUUCGCGCGCAGCUCCCUCAGCUCCGUACUCAGCGCUCGUUUCUGCUCGGAUUCCUGCUCUCAUGGACGCGUCCAGCGGUGCUCCUCUGAUGCGCGCGCUCCAGUCGUCUCCCCGAGCUCGGCUCUGCCGCUCCUAUGGUGUCCGGCCAGCUCUCCUGCUCUUCUCGGUUGCCUGCGUGUCCAUGGCGCGUCUUCUCCCCUGCGCACAGCCACACCUGGUUCUCUGCUCGCCACGUGCGCAGUUCCCUGCGUGCCUAGUGUCGCACGCAUGCUCCCAGGUCCGCAGCACCAGCUGCCUGUUCUGCUUGCUCGUGUCUGCGCGCCGCUGUUGCCCAGCUCGGAUCCCCCUCGCUGCGCGCUGAGCUCUUCGUUGUUGUCCGUGCGCGCGCCGCUCGUCGACCUCUCUGCGCACGUAUAGCUCGCUCUUUUCUUAUUUGCGGCGCGCACGAAUUUUAUCUGCUCGCCGCAGCGUGUCGAGUUCCUGCACCAUCAUCGCUUCUGUCGCAAGCUCGUUGGCCACAGUUAUCUUGAUCGCGUCAGCACGCGACUGUGGUUGUUGGGGACCUUCGGCUUCCGAAGGUCCUCAAAAACAUGAUUUAACAAUGUUUCUGGAGUAUAAUAUGUGAACAGGUAUCUUCGGACUUGUAUCAGAAAGGGAGAAGCUCAAAAGAUACGAAGGUUGACACAGUGCCGAAGCUGUGAAGCAGGAAAGCUUCGGCAUGUUCGCAGAAAAGGGAACCGACUUAAAGAUGAAAAGACCAUUUAGACCUCGAUAGAUUGCUAUGGAAUUAUCACCAAAUGUAAAGGGCAUAUAUGUAAUUUUGUAUGGGUUGUACCCCGUGCCUAUAAAUAGGUGCCGUACUGUUCACGCUGACUUGGCAUUUGCUUUUGCGUCACACUUGUAUUUUCAUCUCCUUCCAAGCCGAAGGUACAUUUAUAAUUCGAUAUUGUUUCUAUUUCUCUAUGAUGAUAUAAAAAAGUUAAAUGAAUAAUGUUAUAUGAUUAUUCAUGCUAUCUUUUAUGUUUCAUAUGCUUCGUCUUUCAUUAAUGUAUACUGUGGUGAUGAAAGUUCGUCCUUCAUGACCUUCGUCCGAAGAUCGUUAUAUCCUAAGGGAAAUAAUGCUUCAAAGGACGAAGGACUUUAUCGUUUAACAUUCUCUGUGUUGCCUUGUUCUUAACUCAUAGCAUUUGAGAACAAGUCCCCAACAUUGGCGCCCACCUCCGGUGAACUCACUUCCAUUUCUUGAGCUUUUCAACAUCUUCAGCAAGCAUCACCUUCGUCAUACCGCCGAAGAAGGCUUCAGCACCAGGGGCUGGCACGCUGCAGCCGUUGGACCCCAAUCAAGACGUCCUUUCUCUUAGAGAGGCACGAAGCCAGAAGAGGAAGGCUACUAGUCCAACACCUCCAGAGGAUGAUCUAGAUCAGGAGAUUCAAAAUCUGGAAAUCCUUCAGCAGCAGGUUCAACGCAAGAAGGAAAAGAUGGCCAGGGUAGCUGAAUUGUAGAGGCAGAUAGACGAAGCCUCUGAAGAAGUUCGUCACCUUGCUCAGGACGAGCAACAUCGAAGGCCUCACCAUCAAGACCUUCAUCAGGAGGGUUUUCCCAACGAAGAUGAUUGGUAUGACAAUUUCCAUCAUGGGAAUUUUGUUUUUGAUGAUGCUUCUCCUCUGUCCGCUGAGCUGCAGGCUACACCUUGGCUUCCGUCCUACAAGCCGCCUCAGCUCCCUGUAUUUGAUGGCCACUCAGACCCGAAGCAGUUUUUGAUGAGCUACGAAGCAACAGUGUCUUCGUAUGGUGGCAAUGCUUCAGUCAUGGCCAAAUCUUUCGUUAUGGCUGUCAGAAGUGUUGCUCAAACCUGGUAUUCCUCCCUUCGACCAGGAACGAUCACUUCAUGGCAGAAACUGAAGGAUUUGUUGUUAACCAGCUUUCAAGGAUUUCAGACGAAGCCGGUCACUGCUCAGGCUCUGUUCCAGUGCACUCAGGAUCACGAAGAAUACCUUCAGGCAUAUGUCCGAAGGUUCUUGCGUCUGAGGGCACAGGCACCAACGGUGCCCAAUGAAAUUGUCAUCGAGGCCAUGAUCAAGGGGCUUCGGCCAGGUCCGUCAGCUCAGUACUUCGCCAGGAAGCCUCCUCAAACUUUGGAGAAGCUUCUCCAGAAAAUGGAUGAAUACAUUCGGGCUGACAAUGAUUUUCGCCAAAGAAGGGAGGAGGCUUUCAGGUUUUCUGAAAUGACCAGGGGAUUCGGAGGAAGGUUUUACCCGAGGCAUGUGAGAUCAAUUCACAAUUCUACACAAAAUGAUGACAGAGGAAGCCAACAGCAAAGGCCACAAUGCUCCUCACAGGCUUCUGGUCAACAGCAAAGCUCCUUCCGGCCACCAGCUCCAAGAGGCAGAGGCGCCAGGGGCUUCGGAGGAAGAUUUGGCGAUCAACCGAGAAGAAUCUUUUGCUUAUUCUGCGGAGAGAACAAAGGCCAUACUACCAGGAUGUGCCAUGUUACUAUACAGAAGCAAAAGGAAAUAGCUGAAGCAGCAGCACAACAAGCCCAGCCGAAGCAAGUCAUGCAUACAGCUUCGUAUCAUUCGCCCUACAUCCCAGAAUAUGUGGGCAACCAUCCUGCAGUCUCUGCUGCUUCGGCGAGUCAGCCUCAAGCUUCCUGGCAACAGCCUCCGCCUCCACCUCCGUUGCAACAGGGCCAGCAGCCAGAAGGGAGCCAAUAUGCUCCACAUCAAAGGGACUUCAGAGAACAGUCCGAAGCUCACACGGUCAACAGCACCGUGCCAGAAUCAAAGCACAUCUAUUGACAAAUAUCCUACCUUAAUAGCAAUCUUUUUCAUUCAGUUUUAUUUUCUGUAAUAAAGGACAUUGUUUAGGUUUCAUGUAAUUAGUUUCGUUGAUUCCUACAAGAAAAAUAUGUUUUCUUCACAGGUUUGUGAUAAUAAAAAGGACCUUCGGACUAUCGAAAAUUCUUCGAAGCAAUAAAAAGUCGUUCUAAGGAACGCAGAGUAAGUCUGACGAAGUCACAAAAAGUCGUUCCGAAGGGAGCGCAGUGUAAGUUUUCUGCUCCAAAGUCGUUCCAAAAGGAAUGCAGAGCUUAUACCGCCUAAGUAAAAGGCGAAGAAGCUCCAAAGACGUUCCUAAGGGAAUGCAGAGCUUAUACCGCCUAAGUAAAAGGCGAAGAAGCUCCAAAGACGUUCCUAAGGGAAUGCAGAGCUUAUACCGCCUAAGUAAAAGGCGAAGAAGCUCCAAAGACGUUCCUAAGGGAAUGCAGAGCUUACAGCGAAGAAUCAGCGCUGAUACAAAAAUAUUGUGUGGGGAUAUGUGUGUAUCUUUCGGAACAAAUGUCAUCUACGUAACAUAACAUCAUCACAUCAUUUUGCAUAGCAUGAGCAUCAUACAUCAUGUUGCAUAUGGCACAAGAAGGGGACACAAUAUUGAUCUUCGGAAGUAUGAUUUGAAAGAGUGAAAAUCGUGUUGUCACAAGGAGACACAAUCUUCAUCUUCGGAGUAUAGCUUCGGAGAAUGUUUUCACGAAGCUUGGAUAUUCUUCAUCUGAGCACUAUGGACAUUGUUCUGAUACAUAAAAAUUUUUCUUCACGAAGCAUGAAAAGAAGGGAAGGUGUUUUUUCGCCAAAGACUCAAAAAAGGUAUGUAUGAAAAGUUUCAUGCAUCGUAAAGAAUUGAACCAUAAAGAAAAAUAAAACAAAUAUGUUACAUACAGGAUUACAAGAUAUUACGCAUGUUACAUUUAAAAUGUUUUUACAAUAGCAUCUAGUCUUCCCUAAGUACCACUUCUGCAGCUUCGUUCAACAGUCGAUCGACAACUUCAUCCAUAAUAACUUCAGCCAUCUUUUUAAUCUCAUCGUCACCCUUAGGCCGUGCACCCGGAGAUACUUCAGUAGGAUCUGAGGAAGGACAGGACACGGCUACUUUGUUGUUACAAGUUGCAAACAAAUCUUAAAGCCUAAGAUUACAACACGAUAAAAACUAUUAUUUAAUACCUAAUUGACCUUCGGCCUCUGCGCUCUUUUCAGCAGCCUCAGCUACUUCUCUAGCAUCAUGAAUGCCCUUUUCACUUCUUCGAAUAAUUUCUCCGGCCAUUUCCCGGCCACCAUUAUCCCAGAUAUCGGUAAAAAACUUUCCACCAAUUAUGCUAGCUUCGGCCGAGGGAUCUCUUGUAUCUUCAAAGGACAAGGCACCUUCGGACUGUGCUAAAAUUUUUACAUGUUCGCAGCCCUUCUUCUCUAAGAUGGUGGCAAUCCCUCUGGCGCCAGAGAAGGCACAUAUAUCUCCUCGGCUAUUUAAAAUUUCUUCGAAGGCUUCAGCUUCGUGGUCAAUCCAUUCAAUGACACCUUCGGGAUUGCCUCUCGAAAAGUUUUCCUCACUUGAGAAUGCGCCAACCUUGGCGAAGCUAGCCUUUAAUUUCUUAACACAAUCUAUAGAUUUGUUGUAGCAUCUCUUUUUGGAUGAACGAAGCUCUUCAACAGUCACUUCUAGGUGAUCUGCCCAUUGAUCGCUGAGUUCACGCUUUGUUUCUUCCAGUAUGCGUUCUUCCUUGGCUCUGGCCAGUUGUUUCCGAAGGUCUUCAAUUUCGCGUUUCUGAGCUUCAGCCUGACUUUUAAAAGCAGCUUCGUCUUCCUUUAUUUUAUUUAUCAAUGAGUAUAAUAUUUUAUCCUUUUCGAGACCUUCGUUCCUCAGUUCAAUUACUUCGGAACGAAGGUUGCUCAGGGCUAUAGUACACCCUUCGUCUUCGGCAUCUUUCUGUGCCCUGAGGGCAUUGCUAAGUAUCAAGCCCUGCAAAAAGACAUAUGUGUGCGUCAAUAGGUUUUGUCAAAAUAUAUACAAAAAUUUUAUUUGUCGCACCUUUAAACUAUUGUAAGCCAGGCUGUCGGCCAGAUCGUUCUUCGACAGCACCGAAAGUCCGUCUUCUAAAGUUGGGAAUCCGAAGCUUCUGCUCAUCUCCCGACAGACAGAAAUUUCCUUGCUGUCGGGGAGACAAUACAAGAAAUCUUCUUCUCCAUUGCCAUUAAAUAUCAACGCCCCCUUCGGAUACUUCAGUUUUUGGGCAUAGUGCUGGGCCUCUUGUUCUUCUUUUUCUGAUAAUUUUUUCCCCGAAGCAUGACGAAAAACAUAAUCACGAAUUUUGGGGGAUGCUUCGGGGGCAACAACACUGGUUUUUUCAACAAAAGUUGGAUUUGUUAUUUUUUCUUCAUCACUUUCCAAGGGUUUCACCUUUGCGGGCUCUGAGGGCCCAGUUUCGGUUUCAGCCCCUUGCUCUGGAACUUUAGAACCAGAAGUUUCAACUGUUGUUUCAGGAGUAACAACAGCCUUCUUCGGAGGUGUGCUUGAAGUCUUAAUUGUUUCUAGUACAUCUAGCACAUUCGCCAUUCUUCUUCUUUUUGGAGUCACUGCUGGCGCUUUUUGAUUUUUUGUUGUCUCAACAUUUGCUGCAGGACUCACAAUUUCUGGUACUUUUUCUUCGGUUGGUUUUUCCACUUCUGCAAUUUUUUCUGUGAAUAGCGCUUCGGCCAUUUCUUUGGUUUCUGGCAGCGAAACCUUCGAUUCUUCUAGUUCUAUCUUUUUCGCCGUUUCGGUCAUCCCUGCAGCUGCAGGUGGCGUGACUGGUCUGGUUGGCUUUUCAGCCUCGGUAACCAAAGAAGAUUUUUCGGUAAACUCCGGCACCGAAGCUGGUUCGAUAUAACGCGGCCGGUGAGUGAGGACUUUUAUUUUCUUUCUUUCAGGCUCUGGCUCGCUAGGAGCAGUUGCAGCUUCUUCUUUUGCAGAGGUUAUGUUCUUUCUUUUCUGCCUUCGGACGGGGUAGCAAUAGUCAGGGUAAACAAACCCAAUUGCAUCAAAUACCCGAUUCAGCCUCUUCUUUUUCGGCCUCCGAAGGCUGCUGACAUCGCGGUAUCUUCGGCCUUCGAAUAAGCACCAAGCAAUUCGUCACUUAAAUUUUCAAUACUCUUUAGCCAGUCGUCAUCUGGCUCAGUAAAUUUAUCUCCAAACUUGAAGGUGUACUUCAGUCUCACAAGCCCACCUUCGUCGGUCUCUUUUGUGGUUUCUUGAGGCAUUUCCCAUUUCUCCGCAAGCGGCCACACCCGGAAGGCAAUAUGUUCUUGUACUAAAUCUCUUGUUCCAAUAAAAGAGCAGAUGACGCCGAAGGCCCUCUGGCAUUCUUCGGCAGCUUCGUUCAUUUCCACCUUCGGCCUCCGAAGGCCGAAGCUUUGCCAAAUAGGACGCAUAAUUAUACCUUUGAUGUCUUCUCGUGCUGAUAGGUCAUUCUUCACAUAAAACCAUUCUGUCAUCCAAUCCCCGGGCCAUCUCUUCCGAAAGGUUGGUACGGGGCAGCUUGCCCCGGACCGAGAGACGAAACUGUAGCAGCCAAAGUUAUUGUGGUACUGUUCUUUGCCCCAAGGCUUUGUUUCAUAUAAUAAUUCAUGUAUAUUACAGAAGCUUCUUGCGUCAGGCUUCAGACCUUGGCUUCUCGUGGCCCACACGAAGAUAUUUAGCCUUAUAAUUGCCUCUGGAGUAAGUUGAUGAAGAUAGACUUCGAAGAUUUUCAACACCUCCACGACGAAGUUGCUCAAGAGGAAUCGCAAUCCGGCUUUCAAAAAGCUUCGGUACACCACAACUUCAUUUUCUUCAGGGUGUGGACAAGUCUUUUCCCCUUCGUCCGCCCUCACAAUGGACAGAUCCCGGAAAUACCUUCCCCUCAUAUUGGCAAGAUGGUUUUCUUUGAUAGCUGAUUUGCCGAAAACCGCAUGACUUGGUCGCCAGGGGCGAUCUUCGGAGUCUUCACCGCCACUAUCUACAUCAAAACUGUCACUGUCACCAGUAUCUUCAGACAAGCCUUCCAGAAUUUCCUUGGUGAUUUUUUCCGUGUUUGUCUUCGACAUCGCUAUAAGAAACCCCAGGUUUUUCUCCUCAUCAAGAGACAGUUUUGCCUCAGUAACAGCUUCCUUGUCUCCAGACAUCUUCGGAAACACUAAAAAACUAUUUUCAAUGCCGAAGCUUUAAAACCAAAGACUCAGGGAAUCUUAGCGCGCAAAAGCUAAAAAUCGAGCGAGCGAGAGAAAGUGGCAAGAAAGCGUACCAAAUGAGCUCGCGGUAUGCUCUUAUUUAUACGCUUGAUGCAGUAAAAAUUGAAAGGUCCCGCCUGUCAGUGAAUGUUGCUAUUCUAGCAAAGGGAAGGUGUUUUUUCGGACCUUCGGCUUAAAGCCUUCGUCCAUGUCGCAAUCUAAAUUUAUUAUUAUUUUAACAAAUUAAUAUUGCGAGGGGCUACUGUUGGGGACCUUCGGCUUCCGAAGGUCCUCAAAAACAUGAUUUAACAAUGUUUCUGGAGUAUAAUAUGUGAACAGGUAUCUUCGGACUUGUAUCAGAAAGGGAGAAGCUCAAAAGAUACGAAGGUUGACACAGUGCCGAAGCUGUGAAGCAGGAAAGCUUCGGCAUGUUCGCAGAAAAGGGAACCGACUUAAAGAUGAAAAGGCCAUUUAGACCUCGAUAGAUUGCUAUGGAAUUAUCACCAAAUGUAAAGGGCAUAUAUGUAAUUUUGUAUGGGUUGUACCCCGUGCCUAUAAAUAGGUGAACAGUACCCCCGUACUGUUCACGCUGACUUGGCAUUUGCUUUUGCGUCACACUUGUAUUUUCAUCUCCUUCCAAGCCGAAGGUACAUUUAUAAUUCGAUAUUGUUUCUAUUUCUCUAUGAUGAUAUAAAAAAGUUAAAUGAAUAAUGUUAUAUGAUUA